Molecule: long non-coding RNA, 1078 nt
Filed under: Equus caballus (horse)
Lineage: Eukaryota; Metazoa; Chordata; Mammalia; Perissodactyla; Equidae
Description: lncRNA (ENSECAG00000056015.1)
Source: RNAcentral
GGAAUGACCAAAACCAACUCAAAGCUAGAAUGAAUUCCCUGUGUGGUGGAGACCCAACAAGCCAUUUCAGAGCCAGAUGAAGGAUAUCGGGCAUCUCUUAAAUGAAACCUGAGUCAGAUACCUGCACACAUACCAGUCCCCUCAAUGUGUAUUCAAGAUACUGUUAACUUAUGGCAAAAUUCUUCCAUCAUAGCAGGGUGCAGUUUUGAAUGUAUGCAACUAGACUCCAGACUUUUCCAGUCUUUCCCAGUCUUUCCUGUUCACCUCAAUUUAGCACUAGCUGAUGGCUCCUGCUCUGUGUCAUAUUCUGCUCCCAGGCCAGAGAUGAAGUCACGGUACUGGCUUUAUGAGUUCUUGCAGCUGCACAACAGCCCGAGAGACUCUCACUGCCUUCUGGAGCAAGAAAACGUGCCUGCAGAGCUUCGAGCUACACUCGUCAGUUUCUAAGGCACCAGGGAGCCGCCUUCUUUUGCAGAGGGGACCUUCAUCUUUGUAAAAGUUAGUCUCCAGGCAUCCAGGUCAGUCAGGUGGUCCACUGCCACUCCAGAGCUUUCCUUAAGGCCCCGCCCUACAUGGUUGUCGUGACAAGGUUAGAGCUUUUUCCAUCCGUGUGCUAUUAUUUCCUGUCAGUUGGAACCUCGUGGGGCCAGGUUCCCAGCGGGUAACGUAUUCAGAUGAGUGUCCACACAGGUUUUGAGCUUUUGCUUUCUGCUGGUCUAUUCUAGCUUCCCUCGUUCCUGAUUCUGUAGGUCACGUCCUCUCCCAUUUCUUGGGCCCCAGGUCCUCUUCUGUAUUAAGAGGCUGACAGUCCCUCUCGCCAAUAAGCUGAAGAGUUGCUUUGGGAUCUUUCAGGAAAGAGUGCUGAAGUUUAUGCCAUUUAGUCUGGGCCUCUGGGAACAGAUACACGGAUAGACGAGUGAGCGAGAGAACGAACGAACGAAUGAAUAUGGAAUUAUCCAAAGACUGUCAAGAACAGCCGCUGCUAAAAAAAGAAAAAAAAUGCUGAAAAUAUUUUUAGAUUCAGAAAAAUCAUAUUCUUCUUGGUAAGUGACAAAAAUGGCUUAAAGCUAAAACUAAA